UGGAGUGUAGUUUAGUUGGUAAAACAUCGGUCUCUGAAAUCGAGGUCUCUGGUUCGAACCCAGCCGCUCCAGCCA
Molecule: transfer RNA, 75 nt
Filed under: Salmonella enterica
Lineage: Bacteria; Pseudomonadati; Pseudomonadota; Gammaproteobacteria; Enterobacterales; Enterobacteriaceae
Description: tRNA-Gln
Rfam family: tRNA
About the family: Transfer RNA (tRNA) molecules are approximately 80 nucleotides in length. Their secondary structure includes four short double-helical elements and three loops (D, anti-codon, and T loops).
Source: RNAcentral